Molecule: ribosomal RNA, 292 nt
Filed under: uncultured bacterium
Lineage: Bacteria
Description: partial 16S ribosomal RNA
Rfam family: Bacterial small subunit ribosomal RNA
Source: RNAcentral
GUGCCAGCAGCCGCGGUAACACGGGGGGAGCAAGCGUUGUUCGGAAUCACUGGGCGUAAAGGGCGUGUAGGCGGAUAGGUAAGUGGGAUGUGAAAUCCCUCGGCUCACCCGAGGACCUGCAUCCCAAACUGCCUGUCUUGAGUACGGGAGAGGAUGGAGGAAUUCCUGGUGUAGCGGUGAAAUGCGUAGAUAUCAGGAGGAACACCGGUGGCGAAGGCGUCCAUCUGGCCCGAUACUGACGCUGAGGCGCGAAAGCUAGGGGAGCAAACGGGAUUAGAUACCCCGGUAGUCC